RNAcentral lists this transfer RNA (72 nucleotides) under bacterium. RNAcentral describes it as "tRNA-Lys". It matches the Rfam family "tRNA". Rfam says of the family: Transfer RNA (tRNA) molecules are approximately 80 nucleotides in length. Their secondary structure includes four short double-helical elements and three loops (D, anti-codon, and T loops). The record is from RNAcentral. RNAcentral also lists the same sequence under 1 other name.
CCGCCCGUAGCUCAAUGGUAGAGCAAUGGCCUUUUAAGCCAGUGGUUGGAGGUUCAAGUCCUCCCGGGCGGA